UUAAAUUGAAGAGUUUGAUCAUGGCUCAGAUUGAACGCUGGCGGCAGGCCUAACACAUGCAAGUCGAACGGUAACAGGAAACAGCUUGCUGAUUUGCUGACGAGUGGCGGACGGGUGAGUAAUGUCUGGGAAACUGCCUGAUGGAGGGGGAUAACUACUGGAAACGGUAGCUAAUACCGCAUAACGUCGCAAGACCAAAGAGGGGGACCUUCGGGCCUCUUGCCAUCGGAUGUGCCCAGAUGGGAUUAGCUAGUAGGUGGGGUAACGGCUCACCUAGGCGACGAUCCCUAGCUGGUCUGAGAGGAUGACCAGCCACACUGGAACUGAGACACGGUCCAGACUCCUACGGGAGGCAGCAGUGGGGAAUAUUGCACAAUGGGCGCAAGCCUGAUGCAGCCAUGCCGCGUGUAUGAAGAAGGCCUUCGGGUUGUAAAGUACUUUCAGCGGGGAGGAAGGGAGUAAAGUUAAUACCUUUGCUCAUUGACGUUACCCGCAGAAGAAGCACCGGCUAACUCCGUGCCAGCAGCCGCGGUAAUACGGAGGGUGCAAGCGUUAAUCGGAAUUACUGGGCGUAAAGCGCACGCAGGCGGUUUGUUAAGUCAGAUGUGAAAUCCCCGGGCUCAACCUGGGAACUGCAUCUGAUACUGGCAAGCUUGAGUCUCGUAGAGGGGGGUAGAAUUCCAGGUGUAGCGGUGAAAUGCGUAGAGAUCUGGAGGAAUACCGGUGGCGAAGGCGGCCCCCUGGACGAAGACUGACGCUCAGGUGCGAAAGCGUGGGGAGCAAACAGGAUUAGAUACCCUGGUAGUCCACGCCGUAAACGAUGUCGACUUGGAGGUUGUGCCCUUGAGGCGUGGCUUCCGGAGCUAACGCGUUAAGUCGACCGCCUGGGGAGUACGGCCGCAAGGUUAAAACUCAAAUGAAUUGACGGGGGCCCGCACAAGCGGUGGAGCAUGUGGUUUAAUUCGAUGCAACGCGAAGAACCUUACCUGGUCUUGACAUCCACGGAAGUUUUCAGAGAUGAGAAUGUGCCUUCGGGAACCGUGAGACAGGUGCUGCAUGGCUGUCGUCAGCUCGUGUUGUGAAAUGUUGGGUUAAGUCCCGCAACGAGCGCAACCCUUAUCCUUUGUUGCCAGCGGUCCGGCCGGGAACUCAAAGGAGACUGCCAGUGAUAAACUGGAGGAAGGUGGGGAUGACGUCAAGUCAUCAUGGCCCUUACGACCAGGGCUACACACGUGCUACAAUGGCGCAUACAAAGAGAAGCGACCUCGCGAGAGCAAGCGGACCUCAUAAAGUGCGUCGUAGUCCGGAUUGGAGUCUGCAACUCGACUCCAUGAAGUCGGAAUCGCUAGUAAUCGUGGAUCAGAAUGCCACGGUGAAUACGUUCCCGGGCCUUGUACACACCGCCCGUCACACCAUGGGAGUGGGUUGCAAAAGAAGUAGGUAGCUUAACCUUCGGGAGGGCGCUUACCACUUUGUGAUUCAUGACUGGGGUGAAGUCGUAACAAGGUAACCGUAGGGGAACCUGCGGUUGGAUCACCUCCUUACCUUAAAGAA
RNAcentral lists this ribosomal RNA (1554 nucleotides) under Escherichia coli. RNAcentral's name for it is "bacterial SSU rRNA". It matches the Rfam family "Bacterial small subunit ribosomal RNA". Lineage: Bacteria; Pseudomonadati; Pseudomonadota; Gammaproteobacteria; Enterobacterales; Enterobacteriaceae. The record is from RNAcentral.